Molecule: ribosomal RNA, 464 nt
Filed under: uncultured Methylomonas sp.
Lineage: Bacteria; Pseudomonadati; Pseudomonadota; Gammaproteobacteria; Methylococcales; Methylococcaceae
Description: bacterial SSU rRNA
Rfam family: Bacterial small subunit ribosomal RNA
Source: RNAcentral
CCUACGGGGGGCUGCAGUGGGGAAUAUUGGACAAUGGGCGGAAGCCUGAUCCAGCAAUACCGCGUGUGUGAAGAAGGCCUGAGGGUUGUAAAGCACUUUCAAUAGGAAGGAAUACCUAUCCAUUAAUACUGGGUAGACUGACAUUACCUAUACAAGAAGCACCGGCUAACUCCGUGCCAGCAGCCGCGGUAAUACGGAGGGUGCAAGCGUUAAUCGGAAUUACUGGGCGUAAAGCGUGCGUAGGCGGCUCGUUAAGUCAGAUGUGAAAGCCCCGGGCUUAACCUGGGAAUGGCAUUUGAUACUGGCGAGCUAGAGUUGAGUAGAGGGGAGUGGAAUUUCAGGUGUAGCGGUGAAAUGCGUAGAGAUCUGAAGGAACACCAGUGGCGAAGGCGACUCCCUGGACUCAAACUGACGCUGAGGUACGAAAGCGUGGGUAGCAAACAGGAUUAGAUACCCGUGUAGUC